AUUGAACGCUGGCGGCAGGCCUAACACAUGCAAGUUGAACGGUAACAGGAAACAGCUUGCUGUUUCGCUGACGAGUGGCGGACGGGUGAGUAAUGUCUGGGAAACUGCCUGAUGGAGGGGGAUAACUACUGGAAACGGUAGCUAAUACCGCAUAACGUCGCAAGACCAAAGAGGGGGACCUUCGGGCCUCUUGCCAUCGGAUGUGCCCAGAUGGGAUUAGCUAGUAGGUGGGGUAACGGCUCACCUAGGCGACGAUCCCUAGCUGGUCUGAGAGGAUGACCAGCCACACUGGAACUGAGACACGGUCCAGACUCCUACGGGAGGCAGCAGUGGGGAAUAUUGCACAAUGGGCGCAAGCCUGAUGCAGCCAUGCCGCGUGUAUGAAGAAGGCCUUCGGGUUGUAAAGUACUUUCAGCGGGGAGGAAGGGAGUAAAGUUAAUACCUUUGCUCAUUGACGUUACCCGCAGAAGAAGCACCGGCUGACUCCGUGCCAGCCGCCGCCGUAA
RNAcentral lists this ribosomal RNA (506 nucleotides) under uncultured bacterium. RNAcentral's name for it is "partial 16S ribosomal RNA". It matches the Rfam family "Bacterial small subunit ribosomal RNA", at positions 30 to 523 of the family's 1533-position model. The record is from RNAcentral.